RNAcentral lists this ribosomal RNA (631 nucleotides) under Salmonella enterica. RNAcentral's name for it is "partial 23S ribosomal RNA". It matches the Rfam family "Bacterial large subunit ribosomal RNA", at positions 1 to 666 of the family's 2925-position model. The record is from RNAcentral. Lineage: Bacteria; Pseudomonadati; Pseudomonadota; Gammaproteobacteria; Enterobacterales; Enterobacteriaceae. RNAcentral also lists the same sequence under 1 other name.
GGGUUGUGAGGUUAAGCGACUAAGCGUACACGGUGGAUGCCCUGGCAGUCAGAGGCGAUGAAGGGCGUGCUAAUCUGCGAUAAGCGCCGGUAAGGUGAUAUGAACCGUUAUAACCGGCGAUACCCGAAUGGGGAAACCCAGUGUGACUCGUCACACUAUCAUUAACUGAAUCCAUAGGUUAAUGAGGCGAACCGGGGGAACUGAAACAUCUAAGUACCCCGAGGAAAAGAAAUCAACCGAGAUUCCCCCAGUAGCGGCGAGCGAACGGGGAGGAGCCCAGAGCCUGAAUCAGCAUGUGUGUUAGUGGAAGCGUCUGGAAAGGCGCGCGAUACAGGGUGACAGCCCCGUACACAAAAGCGCAUGUGCUGUGAGCUCGAUGAGUAGGGCGGGACACGUGGUAUCCUGUCUGAAUAUGGGGGGACCAUCCUCCAAGGCUAAAUACUCCUGACUGACCGAUAGUGAACCAGUACCGUGAGGGAAAGGCGAAAAGAACCCCGGCGAGGGGAGUGAAAAAGAACCUGAAACCGUGUACGUACAAGCAGUGGGAGCACCCUUUGGGUGUGACUGCGUACCUUUUGUAUAAUGGGUCAGCGACUUAUAUUCUGUAGCAAGGUUAACCGAAUAGGGGAGC